Salvia hispanica is the source of this 900-nucleotide non-coding RNA. The record is from RefSeq and is a predicted model, not a curated record. NCBI's taxonomy places the organism in Eukaryota, Viridiplantae, Streptophyta, Magnoliopsida, Lamiales, Lamiaceae.
CUAUGUCUUUCUCUCUGAAACUCAAAAGCUCACGCUCCCUCCCUCUGCCUUUCUUCUACAAUUCCAAAAUUAGAUCUUUUCUCUCGGUCCCUCCUCUAAAAUUAACCACUAGCUCCCCCUCAAAUUCUCACUCAGGCAGAAACUAAAUCCUGAUUCUCGUCUCUCAACACCAGUGGCCGUCACCACCACUUCUCACACUACCCGAGCUCGAUCGGUUCGGGCAGCUGCUGUCUGGCAUCGUCAGCCGCCCUCCUAGCGCCGUCCAGCCGCCGUCGCCGGCGCCUCCGUUAGGCAGCGCCGCUUCACACGACAGACAAGGGAUUUUAAAGAAUUUAAAUUGAAGAGAUCAAGAGAAAACAAGAGGGCAACUUCUGAUGAUAAUAAAGAUUAAGACUUUAUCAAGAAGAAUCAUUCCACAUUUUCAGAAAUUAAAAUGGUGGACUACCGUGAAUGUAUGGAAAUAUAUCAUAGAAUCGAAGAAAAGAAAAUACCUGUGGGAGAAAGGAAAGUUGCACAGGUUGCAGGUUUUGCAAAUCACAAUUUUCUCUAUUCUCUCUCACUGUGAUGUCGAGAAAUUUGGAUUAUGGAAUCAAUAAAUAUGGAGACUUUCAGUAUUCAUGGAAUGAGGAGAAUUUACCUUUUGAUGGAGAAGAAGAUGAAUAACGGCAUAUUGGAAGAAUGAUGAAGUCACGUUGUGGGGAAAUAUAUGAGAAGUAGAAGAGAUUUUUAGUUAGAGAUUUUCAAGGAACAUGGAGAUGCGGGAGAAAACCGUGAGAGAGUUGGGAGAAUGAAAUGGAAAAAUAGGAAUAAAUUUAUAGAAUAAAAGUAGCCCAAUUGCAAUAGGAUAAAUGGGCUAAAAUAAGAUUGAUAAAAGUGAUAGACCCAAAUAUUUGAUUUAAA